GAGCGGCGGAUUCAGGCAAGGAGACAAGGGGUCGAAACCCCAAUGGAGGCAGAAGCAGCAAUUUCUUUUUUUUUUUUUAUGUAUGGGCUGCAGUUGUUUAUUUUUUAGGUAAACUUUUGUUUAAAUAACAUUACAAUACGAUGCCGUUUUGAGCUAGGGUUCCUAGUGUCAAAACGACGCCGUUUAGUGGCCAUGACCCUCGCAGUGACCAGACCCGGGGAAGGAUCCGCGAGUUUUGGCCUCCGUUGGGCAAUUUGCGCAAAUGUUCCUCUCUCUUUUGCGGCGUGUUCAAUUUGAUCCUUUCUGUUUUUUAAUUUUGCUCCGCAUUUUCGUCGUUGUUUCAUUUCGACCGAGCUUUCAACGCUACGUUUUGGGGAAGCGGGAUAUUUUCCUCUUUAGCCCCCAUGUUAUUCGCUCGUGCCCUUUUUGGUCCUCAAUUCUGCUUUAUUUUCAUUUUUUUCCUUUUUAUUUCGAAUUUAAUACAAUUUUGUCCAUACUUAUUUAAUUUAAUGUACUUAAUUUUUUU
This 526-nucleotide long non-coding RNA is filed under the name Gossypium raimondii (Peruvian cotton). Its description in RNAcentral is "long non-coding RNA (GRAI_LNC002450)". The record is from RNAcentral. Lineage: Eukaryota; Viridiplantae; Streptophyta; Magnoliopsida; Malvales; Malvaceae.